UGCACAGUUUUCACUUAUUUGGCCAAUAAAUACCCCCGAUUUUCCACUUUUCACACUUUCACAGGCACUAAGAACACUUCCACAAGCCGCUUUUCACUUUUCCCAAGCUAAAAUAUCACAAUUUACAGAGAAAAUUGCAGAAACUAACAAAUACGUUGACUUCACAAGAGCUGGAAAAAGAAUGACAGAAAAAAACAUGUUCCUGCGACAUUCUUUUUCAAGCUCUUGCGUAAUCAACACGUUUCUUAUUUUUCGUCAAUUAUCUCUGUGAAUUGUGAUAUUUUAGCUCGGGAAAAGUGAAAAGCGGCUUGUGGAAGUGUUUUUAGUGCCUGUGAAGGUGUGAAAAGUGGAAAAUCGCGGGUAUUUUUUGGCCAAAUAAGUGAAAACAGUGAAGUUCGACAGCAAAACAUUCACUCCCGGACCAGUUUUUCGCGUUCAGGUGGGAUUCCACCACCCAGGAAGCAUUUCCCUGACCCCAGGCCGACCUUCCCUAUGCAGAUGACCUGUAGGAAGAUACAAAAAGCCCGCAAGAAGUGAUUUGUGUGGUCAAAAUAUAGAAAAGAAUCCCGUAAAAAUUGGUCAGGGAAAGAAUGUUUUGAUUUUUCACUUCGCGCAUUUUCACAUAUUUGGCCGCUAAAUGACCGUAAAUUUCCAUUUUCCACUGUUUUCCUGGCACUGUGGGCUCUUUAGCUAAGCAUUUUCCACUUUUCUUUGGGGAAAAUACCCCCAAAUCUUGAGAAAAUUCAAGGAAAUAAUAACAUGUUGUGCGCAAGAAAAAAAGCAUGCCACGAAAAAAGAUGUCGGAAACAUGCGUGAGAAAAAGACGAAAGAUAGGAAAAUACAUUAGUGGGAGUGAGAUAGAAUGACAAAAAAUGUCAGGAAAAAAUGUCAUGAUCAUUUUCUCUUGACAUUCUUUUCCUGCAUAGCACCAUUAAGCAUUUUCUUACAAAUUAGCCUUAAAAAUACCUCUAAAAAUGAAUCCCAAAACACCCCAUCUUACGCGAAUUAUCUGCAAUCUGGUGGAAGCACUCUCACCAGCAGCGAUGGAGACUUCAAUUAAAUCAACGAUGUGAGAUAAUUGCUCCGGCAACGGCUAGGGAUACUUUUUCGUGAACAUUUACGAUAAUAUGGGGAAAAGCUGCAUUUCAUCAAUUGUAACUCAUAGUAGUGCGAAUUUGUAAACUAAUCGUGGAUCUGUAUUGGUGAUGACCGUAACGGAGUUACAUCUUGAAUCUCUCUCAGCAGUCAUAAACACAUGAAUGCAGUGAACACGACGUGAAUCCAUAUUAUGUAGUGUAGAUACAGAAAAAUCAAUACGAGAUAUAAGAGCUUUCAUCCAUUCCGUAUCUCUGAAGAACUUGACAUCAUCACCCAAGCAGAUAGUUAUUUUUCUUUACAGGAAAACGAUGUAUUUAAUGAAUUGAUUUCCGUUUGUGCUAGGGUAAUUCCAUUUGGUCAGGAAAAUGCUCGCAUUUUGAUCAGAAGUAGUUUUACGUAAUUUUGCUUGAUGAUAAAUGGGUCAGUACGUUUUAUAUGGAAAAAUAAUUAAAUUCAUAAAAAUUAAUUUUUUCAUGUAUGGGGGUUAGCUUGUGAUCCAAUUGACAUGAAGGGUUAAUUAUUGAAAUGUGAAAUCUUGAAAAAUGUACAGUACAACCAAAAUUUUUAUUACCGUAAGAUGGGGUGUUUUGGGAUUCAUUUUUAGAGGUAUUUUUAAGGCUAAUUUGUAAGAAAAUGCUUAAGUCAGGAAAAUAUGAAAAAUGCUUAGAAAAAGAUUGAAAACAAUUAAUAAAAAUUUCGAGGUAAAUUGUGAUAUUUUUUUUUUACUUUAAAUUAUCAUAUUUUGUUGCUAAGAAAAAUUCAAAAUUUUUUUAAAAUAAAUUCAUAAAGUUGAAUAAAAUAAAAGAAUAAUAAUAAUAAAGUCUUUAUUCACAAGUUUACAAACAGCAGGGAAGUCUAGAUUUAUUUAAAUUCAUGA
Molecule: long non-coding RNA, 1975 nt
Organism: Lutzomyia longipalpis
Lineage: Eukaryota; Metazoa; Arthropoda; Insecta; Diptera; Psychodidae
Exons: 4
Source: RefSeq, a predicted model, not a curated record